ACAACUUUUAGCAACGGAUCUCUUGGCUCUCGCAUCGAUGAAGAACGCAGCGAAAUGCGAUAAGUAAUGUGAAUUGCAGAAUUCAGUGAAUCAUCGAAUCUUUGAACGCACCUUGCGCUCCUUGGUAUUCCGAGGAGCAUGCCUGUUUGAGUGUCAUGGAAU
Molecule: ribosomal RNA, 162 nt
Filed under: Trametes versicolor
Lineage: Eukaryota; Fungi; Basidiomycota; Agaricomycetes; Polyporales; Polyporaceae
Also listed under: 1 other name
Description: 5.8S ribosomal RNA
Rfam family: 5.8S ribosomal RNA
About the family: 5.8S ribosomal RNA (5.8S rRNA) is a component of the large subunit of the eukaryotic ribosome. It is transcribed by RNA polymerase I as part of the 45S precursor that also contains 18S and 28S rRNA.
Source: RNAcentral